RNAcentral lists this transfer RNA (70 nucleotides) under marine eukaryotic metagenome. It matches the Rfam family "tRNA", at positions 5 to 66 of the family's 71-position model. Rfam says of the family: Transfer RNA (tRNA) molecules are approximately 80 nucleotides in length. Their secondary structure includes four short double-helical elements and three loops (D, anti-codon, and T loops). Further hydrogen bonds mediate the characteristic L-shaped molecular structure. tRNAs have two regions of fundamental functional importance: the anti-codon, which is responsible for specific mRNA codon recognition, and the 3' end, to which the tRNAs corresponding amino acid is attached (by aminoacyl-tRNA synthetases). tRNAs cope with the degeneracy of the genetic code in two manners: having more than one tRNA (with a specific anti-codon) for a particular amino acid; and 'wobble' base-pairing, i.e. permitting non-standard base-pairing at the 3rd anti-codon position. The record is from RNAcentral.
UGAUUAGCUCAGUUGGUUCAGAGCACCUGGUUUACACCCAGGGGGUCGGGGGUUCGAGUCCCUCAUCGCC